GCAAGUCGUACGCGAAAGUCUCUUCGGAGGCGAGUAGAGUGGCGCAAGGGUGCGUAACACGUAGCUAACGUACCCCUUCGAUUGGGAUAACUCCAGGAAACCGGAGCUAAUACCGAGAACGCUGUGAGAGUCUGCGGACUUUUUCGGCAAUGACUUCGGGCGCGAAGGGAUCGGGCUGCGGCCUAUUAGUUUGUUGGCGGGGUAACGGCCCACCAAGACUACGAUAGGUAGCUGGUCUGAGAGGAUGAUC
This 250-nucleotide ribosomal RNA is filed under the name uncultured bacterium. RNAcentral's name for it is "partial 16S ribosomal RNA". It matches the Rfam family "Bacterial small subunit ribosomal RNA", at positions 57 to 305 of the family's 1533-position model. The record is from RNAcentral.